GGUUGCGAUCAUACCAGCACUAAUGUACCGGAUCCCAUCAGAACUCCGUAGUUAAGCGUGCUUGGGCGAGACUAGUACUAGGAUGGGUGACCCCUUGGGAAGUCCUCAUGUUUGAAACCC
Molecule: ribosomal RNA, 120 nt
Filed under: Helianthus annuus (common sunflower)
Lineage: Eukaryota; Viridiplantae; Streptophyta; Magnoliopsida; Asterales; Asteraceae
Source: RNAcentral